Molecule: ribosomal RNA, 463 nt
Filed under: Streptococcus mitis
Lineage: Bacteria; Bacillati; Bacillota; Bacilli; Lactobacillales; Streptococcaceae
Description: bacterial SSU rRNA
Rfam family: Bacterial small subunit ribosomal RNA
Source: RNAcentral
GACGAACGCGGCGGCGUGCCUAAUACAUGCAAGUAGAACGCUGAAGGAGGAGCUUGCUUCUCCGGAUGAGUUGCGAACGGGUGAGUAACGCGUAGGUAACCUGCCUGGUAGCGGGGGAUAACCAUUGGAAACGAUAGCUAAUACCGCAUAACAGUAGAUGUUGCAUGACAUUUGCUUAAAAGGUGCAAUUGCAUCACUACCAGAUGGACCUGCGUUGUAUUAGCUAGUUGGUGGGGUAACGGCUCACCAAGGCGACGAUACAUAGCCGACCUGAGAGGGUGAUCGGCCACACUGGGACUGAGACACGGCCCAGACUCCUACGGGAGGCAGCAGUAGGGAAUCUUCGGCAAUGGACGGAAGUCUGACCGAGCAACGCCGCGUGAGUGAAGAAGGUUUUCGGAUCGUAAAGCUCUGUUGUAAGAGAAGAACAGGUGUGAGAGUGAAAAGUUCACACUGUGACGGU